UACGGCCGCAUCACGUUGAAACACCGGUUCUCGUCCAAUCAACGAAGUUAAACAACAUUGAGACUGGUCAGUGCUUAGAUGGGUGAUCUCUGGGGAAUACCAGGUGCUGUAAG
Non-coding RNA from Acanthosepion pharaonis, 113 nucleotides. Lineage: Eukaryota; Metazoa; Mollusca; Cephalopoda; Sepiida; Sepiidae. The record is from the annotation of a GenBank genome assembly.